Pelobates cultripes (western spadefoot toad) is the source of this 251-nucleotide non-coding RNA. The record is from the annotation of a GenBank genome assembly. Lineage: Eukaryota; Metazoa; Chordata; Amphibia; Anura; Pelobatidae.
GUACAAUGGUAUUUGGUUUAAUAAUGCUAAUGGAAAUCUGUAUGGCGCUGGUAAUGGUAACAUUGACACUGGGUGUGCCAGUUGUAGCAUGUUCAGGCUCAUAAUUGUCUCCAUUGGAUGAGGCAAUUCUAAAGCAGAUAAAGAUAGACUUGGAGGAGAUGAUGAAGAUGCAGGAGGCAAGUGCACACUAGCUGUCAUAGAAAAUUCUGGGCUUCUAUAGGUACUCUCCACAUUCUCUUCUAAUUCCUCUG